Molecule: long non-coding RNA, 454 nt
Organism: Cloeon dipterum
Lineage: Eukaryota; Metazoa; Arthropoda; Insecta; Ephemeroptera; Baetidae
Exons: 3
Source: RefSeq, a predicted model, not a curated record
AUAGUAUAAAUAUAAAGGAAACCAAAGCAAAGUAUUCAGUUUGUGCAAAACAUUCAAAGGACAAACAGCGCGUAUAAACAGACCAGAAGAAAACAUGAAAUUCCCUAUUCUUCUCAGCUUUGUCCUGAUCGCUGUCGCUGUGGCGUUCGUUGCGCUAGCAAAUGCGGAUCCAGUCAAUACUAUUCAGCCAAACUGCUAUUCUCGCUGCUCUUGUGCCGGUAACUAUCACAGAAUAGUUGUCGCUCAACGUGUUGGAGGAACUGAACGAAGGAAUUUCACUAAUGAGUGCCUACUGGAUUGCCACAACUGCAACAAUCCGACACGCCAAUAUCAAAGAUUACAUUAAGAAUUUGGAAGAAAUAUUGAAUCGUAUACAGUUGGGCCAAAGAGCUCAAAUAUCAUUUCAUAUGAUGGCUCUUUCUGCAAUAAACUUCUCCAGAGUAAACCGAAACAA